RNAcentral lists this ribosomal RNA (794 nucleotides) under uncultured bacterium. Its description in RNAcentral is "bacterial SSU rRNA". It matches the Rfam family "Bacterial small subunit ribosomal RNA", at positions 28 to 811 of the family's 1533-position model. The record is from RNAcentral.
GAUGAACGCUAGCUACAGGCUUAACACAUGCAAGUCGCGGGGCAGCAUGAAGUCAGCUUGCUGACUUUGAUGGCGACCGGCGCACGGGUGAGUAACGCGUAUCCAACCUGCCUGUUACCACGGCACAGCCCGUCGAAAGGCGGAUUAAUGCCGUAUGUGGUCCUUUGCGGGCAUCUAAUUAGGACUAAAGGUUCGGCGGUAACAGAUGGGGAUGCGUCCGAUUAGCUAGACGGCGGGGUAACGGCCCACCGUGGCUACGAUCGGUAGGGGUUCUGAGAGGAAGGUCCCCCACACUGGAACUGAGACACGGUCCAGACUCCUACGGGAGGCAGCAGCGAGGAAUAUUGGUCAAUGGGCGUAAGCCUGAACCAGCCAAGUAGCGUGAGGGAAGACUGCCCUAUGGGUUGUAAACCUCUUUUGUGCGGGGAUAAAGUGAGGGACGUGUCCCUUAUUGCAGGUACCGCACGAAUAAGGACCGGCUAAUUCCGUGCCAGCAGCCGCGGUAAUACGGAAGGUCCGGGCGUUAUCCGGAUUUAUUGGGUUUAAAGGGAGCGCAGGCCGUCCUUUAAGCGUGCUGUGAAAUGCCGCGGCUCAACCGUGGCACUGCAGCGCGAACUGGAGGACUUGAGUACGCACGAGGUAGGCGGAAUUCGUGGUGUAGCGGUGAAAUGCUUAGAUAUCACGAAGAACUCCGAUUGCGAAGGCAGCUUACCGGAGCGCAACUGACGCUGAGGCUCGAAAGCGCGGGUAUCGAACAGGAUUAGAUACCCUGGUAGUCCGCGCGGUAAACGAUG